AGUCAUAUGCUUGUCUCAAAGAUUAAGCCAUGCAUGUCUAAGUAUAAGCAAUUAUACAGCGAAACUGCGAAUGGCUCAUUAUAUAAGUUAUCGUUUAUUUGAUAGUACCUUACUACUUGGAUAACCGUGGUAAUUCUAGAGCUAAUACAUGCUAAAAAUCCCGACUUCGGAAGGGAUGUAUUUAUUAGAUUAAAAACCAAUGCCCUCUGGGCUCCUUGGUGAUUCAUAAUAACUUUUCGAAUCGCACGGCCUUGCGCCGGCGAUGGUUCAUUCAAAUUUCUUCCCUAUCAACUUUCGAUGUUUGGGUCUUGGCCAAACAUGGUCGCAACGGGUAACGGAGGGUUAGGGCUCGACCCCGGAGAAGGAGCCUGAGAAACGGCUACUACAUCCAAGGAAGGCAGCAGGCGCGCAAAUUACCCAAUCCCGAUUCGGGGAGGUAGUGACAAUAAAUACUGAUACAGGGCUCUUUUGGGUCUUGUAAUUGGAAUGAGUACAAUUUAAAUCUCUUAACGAGGAACAAUUGGAGGGCAAGUCUGGUGCCAGCAGCCGCGGUAAUUCCAGCUCCAAUAGCGUAUAUUAAAGUUGUUGUGGUUAAAAAGCUCGUAGUUGAACCUUGGGCCUGGCUGGCCGGUCCGCCUCACCGCGUGCACUGGUCCGGCCGGGCCUUUCCCUCUGUGGAACCCCAUGCUCUUCACUGAGUGUGGCGGUGAAACAGGACUUUUACUUUGAAAAAAUUAGAGUGCUCCAGGCAGGCCUAUGCUCGAAUACAUUAGCAUGGAAUAAUAAAAUAGGACGCGUGGUUCUAUUUUGUUGGUUUCUAGGACCGCCGUAAUGAUUAAUAGGGACAGUCGGGGGCAUCAGUAUUCAAUUGUCAGAGGUGAAAUUCUUGGAUUUAUUGAAGACUAACUACUGCGAAAGCAUUUGCCAAGGAUGUUUUCAUUAAUCAGGAACGAAAGUUAGGGGAUCGAAGACGAUCAGAUACCGUCGUAGUCUUAACCAUAAACUAUGCCGACUAGGGAUCGGACGAUGUUAUUUUUUGACGCGUUCGGCACCUUACGAGAAAUCAAAGUGCUUGGGCUCCAGGGGGAGUAUGGUCGCAAGGCUGAAA
RNAcentral lists this ribosomal RNA (1108 nucleotides) under Cordyceps militaris. RNAcentral describes it as "SSU rRNA". It matches the Rfam family "Eukaryotic small subunit ribosomal RNA", at positions 21 to 1142 of the family's 1831-position model. The record is from RNAcentral. Lineage: Eukaryota; Fungi; Ascomycota; Sordariomycetes; Hypocreales; Cordycipitaceae.